AGAAUUUGGAAGGCAUUUACAAUCUGGAAGGUCACAGUAUGCCACUCAAAGACCAACAAAGCUAAGGAAAUAUUAUCCAAAGGUCUUUUUUUUACUGAUGACAUCUUCUUGAGAUGUCUGGUUGAAAUCAAAGGACUUUUUGAGAUGGCCAGUGACAAGACAAGAUAUGGGGAUUCUGACGGUGCCAUUGUUUUAACAAAGUUGGAUAAAUCCACCACAUACUCCUUGAUAGGCUUCUGUGAGGCCCAGAC
Molecule: long non-coding RNA, 251 nt
Organism: Oncorhynchus masou masou (cherry salmon)
Lineage: Eukaryota; Metazoa; Chordata; Actinopteri; Salmoniformes; Salmonidae
Exons: 3
Source: RefSeq, a predicted model, not a curated record